UCACUCUAAUAUUCUUUCUUCCUCAUUCUCCGCCGUAUCAAAUUCCAAUUCAUCUCAUUAAAGCGUUAUAUCUUUUUCCUCUAAAAAUCCCUUUUCAGUAGAAUCUUCACCAAUGCCGCUUAAUUAAGCGAUUAUUUCUCAUUCUUGUUAAAAAAUUAAAUUAUUCUCUGUUUUCUUACGCUACUUUCUCUGUUUUCCUUCUUCUAAAAAACCUUUCAAAACAAAACCCGUUUUCACCAAUUCAAC
This 246-nucleotide long non-coding RNA is filed under the name Lathyrus oleraceus (garden pea). RNAcentral describes it as "Pisum sativum (pea) long non-coding RNA (PSAT_LNC023583)". The record is from RNAcentral. Lineage: Eukaryota; Viridiplantae; Streptophyta; Magnoliopsida; Fabales; Fabaceae.